GACGAACGCUGGCGGCGUGCUUAACACAUGCAAGUCGAACGGACAGGCCCUGCUUUUGUUGGUUUCUCGAGUGGCGAACGGGUGAGUAACACGUGAGUAUCCUGCCCUUGUCUUUGUGAUAACUUCAGGAAACUGGGGCUCAUACCGGAUAGGAUCUCCUGCUGCAUGUUGGGGGUUGGAAAGUUUCGGCGGUUGGGGAUGGACUCGCUGCUUAUGAGCUUGUUGGUGUGGUAGUGGCUUACCAAGGCUUUGAGGGGUAGCCGGCAUGAGAGGGUGACCGGCCACAUUGGGACUGAGAUACGGCCCAGACGCCUACGGGAGGCAGCAGGGGGGAAUAUGGCACAAUGGGCGGAAGCGUGAUGCAGCAACGCUGCGUGCGGGAUGACGGCCUUCGGGGGGUAAACAGAUUUCGCCGGUGACGAAGAGUGAGUGACGGUAAUGGGUAAAGAAGCACCGGCUAACUACGUG
This 468-nucleotide ribosomal RNA is filed under the name uncultured bacterium. Its description in RNAcentral is "partial 16S ribosomal RNA". It matches the Rfam family "Bacterial small subunit ribosomal RNA", at positions 28 to 507 of the family's 1533-position model. The record is from RNAcentral.